CCUACGGGAGGCAGCAGUGGGGAAUAUUGCACAAUGGGCGCAAGCCUGAUGCAGCGACGCCGCGUGAGGGAUGACGGCCUUCGGGUUGUAAACCUCUUUCAGUAGGGAAGAAGCGAAAGUGACGGUACCUGCAGAAGAAGCGCCGGCUAACUACGUGCCAGCAGCCGCGGUAAUACGUAGGGCGCAAGCGUUAUCCGGAAUUAUUGGGCGUAAAGAGCUCGUAGGCGGUUUGUCGCGUCUGCCGUGAAAGUCCGGGGCUCAACUCCGGAUCUGCGGUGGGUACGGGCAGACUAGAGUGAUGUAGGGGAGACUGGAAUUCCUGGUGUAGCGGUGAAAUGCGCAGAUAUCAGGAGGAACACCGAUGGCGAAGGCAGGUCUCUGGGCAUUAACUGACGCUGAGGAGCGAAAGCAUGGGGAGCGAACAGGAUUAGAUACCCUGGUAGUCCAUGCCGUAAACGUUGGGCACUAGGUGUGGGGGACAUUCCACGUUUUCCGCGCCGUAGCUAACGCAUUAAGUGCCCCGCCUGGGGAGUACGGCCGCAAGGCUAAACGUCAAAUGAAUUGACGG
This 568-nucleotide ribosomal RNA is filed under the name uncultured bacterium. RNAcentral's name for it is "bacterial SSU rRNA". It matches the Rfam family "Bacterial small subunit ribosomal RNA", at positions 338 to 916 of the family's 1533-position model. The record is from RNAcentral.